GAGACAGAAUGUCAGUUUUGAAAUAUAGGAGUUCGAGAUUAGAAACCUAAUACUUUUGUUAUGAAUUAUGCUAAAACGGUAAAAAAAUUUUCAAAAUAUAGUUGUCUCAAAUACACUCUUCUCAGAUAACAGAAGGCCAGGCAAGGGCACUGACUUGAAGGGAAACAAACCACAGUAAUAUGACUGCCUGAAAGUAACUAUGGAAUUCAGUUUCUCAAAGUGAUUACUUCUUCUAAUCUUCAUAUUGAUGACUCACUAGUACAUUUACUUUGAUGGGUUUAAUCAACUCUGAUAACAUAGUUCCAAACACUUAAAAGGACCUGAUUUAUGUAUUAAAUAAAGGUUAAUUUGUUCUUGAGAAAUUGACAAAAGAUUUGGUCAAACGUAAAUGAAUAUGCAAUAAGUCACAUAAGUCUGUGUGUAUAUACAUAUAUGACUUUAAUUUUAUAAGUGCAUGUGUAUACGCACACCUUUAGCUCAUUUAAAUAAAAAGCUAUCCAAUGUUUUAUGUCCAUUAUGUCCCCCGUUAACAUUGAGCAAAAUGUUAACCCCUACUAUAUAUGCAAGGGAAAUAAAUUAAGUUGUUAUAUAGAAACCCUUGACACUAUAUGCAAUUUCUUAUGUCCCAUAUUCUGAUAAUAUCUGUCCUCUUGGCUCUUACUUCUUGGAAUUUCUCAUAAACACGGAAGCUUCAUGACAAAUUGUGUAAAUCAUCAUUUCCUCCUUUAUGAAGUAUAUUGAAGACAAAAGGGAUUAAAGUCAUUUCACAUUUAGCAAAGCUAUUUUAUGGCAACAUUGUUACAACACAAAAUAGACAUUGCAGUUUACAAUUAACAAUUACACAGUGAUUUCAUAACAAUACUACUUACUCCAAUUAACAAAAUAUUUCUUUAUAAAAAAUAUGUUCAAAAGGAGGUUUACAUUCACUUCUUCGUUUAAUAUCAAGGUUGUUAACAAUGGUCUUAGGAGAUGCAAAGACGAAAAACUACUUACCUUAAAAAUCUGUAUUCUUGAAGAUAUAUACUCCACUUGAAUAAGAUACUGCUCAAGGUUUAGGCUUCCUGGAGAACUCAGAGGAUUUUGUAGUUGUACUUAAUAUACUCAAUAGCCAAAUUUCCUAAACUUUCAUAAUUUUGCUAACCAAGGGCCCUUAACAAAGUUAAAAGACACCACAGGGUUCAAAAGUGAACAAAUAUGUUGUUUUUGUUUUAAGACGGAGUCUCAUUCUUGUCACCUAGGCUGGAGUGCAGUGGCGCAAUCUCUGCUCACUGCAACCUCCAUCUCCCGGGUUUAAGUGAUUCUCACACCUCAGCCUUCCGAGUAGCUGGGAUUACAGGCGCGCGCCACCAAGCCCAGCUAAUUUUUACAUUUUUAGUAGAAAUGGGGUUUCACCAUGUUGGCCACGCUGGUCUCAAACUCCUGACCUCAAGAGAUCCGCCCGCCUCGGCCUCCCAAAGUGCUGGGAUUACAGGCAUGCGCCACUGUGCCUGGUCACAAAUAUGUUAAUGAGCCAAUUAAGAUGGUGCUGCUCAAAUGAUUCUAAUUCAGGAAACUUAGGUUGCAGCUAGGUAAUCUCUAGUUCUCUAAAGAAUAAUACCCAAAUGACAGGAUUUAUGUGUUGAUGCAAUAAUAGCUCAGUCUGUUUCAUGACCUAGCUAGAGUCAGAAUUGGAGCGGUGGCUAUAGCACAGGGGUGGCUUUCUCCUCUCUGAAGGAAAAGUAAAGAAGUAAGAAGAAAGAGGUUGAAAGAACAGCCUACACAGUUGUUGCCCAGAUCUCAAAAUUAGCAACAAGUAUGUCAGCUGUCCUAAUUAUUACCAAACAGGUCCUGGGAGUGUCUGACACACAACAUAAUAUAGGUUUGACAAAGAUUCACCUAUGAGUUUGAUGAAGACAGGCUAGGUAUGGCCCUCAAUAAGAAUUUAUUCUGACUGGGAGAUUUAAAACUGUAAAUGCUUGCCGGGCGUGGUGGCUCACGCCUGUAAUCCCAGCACUCUGAGAGGCCGAGGCGGGCGGAUCAUGAGGUCGGGAGAUCGAGACCAUCCUGUAUAACACAGUGAAACCCUGUCUCUACUAAAAAGUACAAAAAAAUUAGCCGGGCGUAGUGGCGGGCGCCUGUAGUCCCAGCUACUCGGGAGACUGAGGCAGGAGAAUGGCGUGAACCCACGAAGCGGAGCUUGCAGUGAGCCGAGAUUGUGCCACUGCACUUGGGGACAGAGCGAGACUCUGUCUUAAAAAAAAAACAAAACAAAACUGUAAAUGCUUGAGUUCUACCUCCUCCAGAUUCUAAUUUUAUUUAAUUGGACAUCUGGUUAUUGUAUUUUUUAACUCCUCAGGUUAUGUAAUAAUACGCAUCCAGUGUUGAGGAACACUGACAAAAAGGUUAGAGUUCAGUGAGACACUGAGGCCUCUUCAGUACAUAAAAAUAGGGUUGGAAGUUAGCAUCUUGACACUCUUUGGGGGAUUCUAUAUCUCUUCACUUGCCAUUAAGUGAAACGUUCAGAAAUUUAAGAGUCAACAAUGCCACCAUUACUGCUGUCAAAGUCCUUCAGUGAUUAAAAAGAUACCAGAAAGAUACCCUGAUCCCUUGAUCAUCUGGUGGGGAGUAGUGUGGGAAAGUGGUUAUAACAUUGCGCAAGCAGAUGUCAGAGAAUUUCUGAAAGACAGGGCUAUCUCUAGAAACUCACUGUAAGUAAGGAGACAAUUAACACUUUUGAAGCCCAUUUAUCCCUGAUGGUCAAUUACACACUAAGAACUUCCUUUUUUUUUUUUUUUUGAGACUGAGUCUCGCUCUUUCACCAGGCCGGAGUGCAGUGGCACUAUCUCAGCUCACUGCAAGCUCCGCCUCCUGGGUUCAGGCCAUUCUCCUGCCUCAGCCUCCCGAGUAGCUGGGACUACAGGCACCCGCCACCGCGCCCAGCUAAUUUGUUGUAUUUUUAGUAGAGAUGGGGUUUCACCGUGUUAGCCAAGAUGGUCUCGAUCUCCUGAUCUCGUGAUCCACCCACCUCGGCCUCCCAAAGUGCUGGGAUUACAGGCAUGAGCCACCGCGCCCGGCCAAGAACUUCCUUUUAAGAUUUGCCCUGAAGGGCCCUAGAGCAUUUCCUCUUCCAUGCAGAGAAUCAGAAAGCUUGGAUUCUAGCUCUAGCUCCCAACAAUUAGCUGUAUGUAAUUGAUGAUGGGUGACUUCAUUAGUGUCAAAGCCAAAGCAUAUUCUCUGUCAGCUUUUCAAAAAAACACGCAGUAAAGAGAGAUUCCUACCAGGAAAACUUUGAUGGGUGUUUUUCAAGUGUCAUCUCACAGCAGAAGAUGCCCCAAGUGGUCAAACCUUGCCAACAGCUUCAAAAAAAGGUAACUAGGAUUUAACUUUACGGUGCAUUUUGAUGUUUCCCUUUGUGUCAUAUCUGAUGAUAAAAGAACCUUAAAAAAAAAAAAAAAAAACACUAUCCAGCUUCUCCAUUCUGUCUCCUGCUUUACUUUCUCUUGUUUACAAAAUACAAAUUUAUAGCUGGAUUUGAUGCUGAAAAUUUAAUACAGUUACCUCAUGUCACAGAUAAAGAACAGAAAUGACUUGACCAAGUUCAC
Molecule: long non-coding RNA, 3581 nt
Filed under: Homo sapiens (human)
Lineage: Eukaryota; Metazoa; Chordata; Mammalia; Primates; Hominidae
Description: HSALNT0062719
Source: RNAcentral